This is a long non-coding RNA of Girardinichthys multiradiatus, 252 nucleotides long. RefSeq lists it as uncharacterized. The record is from RefSeq and is a predicted model, not a curated record. Lineage: Eukaryota; Metazoa; Chordata; Actinopteri; Cyprinodontiformes; Goodeidae. The transcript is spliced from 2 exons.
GUGCAGUGUUUGCUUUGCCCGCAGCUGCUGACGUAUAAUAAUAAUAAUACGUCAUCAAUGCUGAGACAUUAUAGAGACAAACACAAGAAAACUCAGCCUCCUGCCACCAAUCAAGGAUCCAGGAAGCAACUUCAUAGUGAAGGACUUCCAGCCUUUCAUUGUAUUCACACCUAAAGCAUCCAGCCAAACAGUUCCUUGUUAAACCAGCCUCCUCUGUUCCCUGUGAAAGAGGAUUUUCCAAAGCUGAAGAAA